CAGUCGCCACGGUAAUACGUAGGUGGCAAGCGUUGUCCGGAAUUAUUGGGCGUAAAGGGCUCGCAGGCGGUUUCUUAAGUCUGAUGUGAAAGCCCCCGGCUCAACCGGGGAGGGUCAUUGGAAACUGGGAAACUUGAGUGCAGAAGAGGAGAGUGGAAUUCCACGUGUAGCGGUGAAAUGCGUAGAGGUGUGGAGGAACACCAGUGGCGAAGGCGACUCUCUGGUCUGUAACUGACGCUGAGGAGCGAAAGCGUGGGGAGCAAACAGGAUUAGAUACCCCCGUAGUCCCUGUCUCUUAUAC
Molecule: ribosomal RNA, 301 nt
Filed under: uncultured bacterium
Lineage: Bacteria
Description: partial 16S ribosomal RNA
Rfam family: Bacterial small subunit ribosomal RNA
Source: RNAcentral